UGUCCAGGCACACACUGCCGGGGUGUC
This 27-nucleotide non-coding RNA is filed under the name Homo sapiens (human). The record is from RNAcentral. Lineage: Eukaryota; Metazoa; Chordata; Mammalia; Primates; Hominidae.